This 82-nucleotide microRNA precursor is filed under the name Glycine max (soybean). RNAcentral's name for it is "miR10405c stem-loop (gma-MIR10405c)". The record is from miRBase by way of RNAcentral. Lineage: Eukaryota; Viridiplantae; Streptophyta; Magnoliopsida; Fabales; Fabaceae.
AUCUCCUGUCUUUUUUAUAAGAAACAAGUUUUAGUGUAAAUAUACUAAAACUUGUUUCUUAUAAAAAGGACCAGAGGGAGUA